Molecule: ribosomal RNA, 1350 nt
Filed under: uncultured bacterium
Lineage: Bacteria
Description: bacterial SSU rRNA
Rfam family: Bacterial small subunit ribosomal RNA
Source: RNAcentral
GAUUAACGCUGGCGGCGUGCAUAACACAUGCAAGUCGAACGAUGAAACUUAGUAGACUUCUUCGGAAUGACACUAAGCGAAUUAGUGGCGAACGGGUGAGUAACGCGUGAGUAACCUGCCUUACACAAGGGGAUAGCCUUUGGAAACGAAGAAUAAUACCCUAUAAAACCAUAAAAGCACAUGCUAGAAUGGUCAAAGUGAUAGCGGUGUAAGAUGGACUUGCGUCUGAUUAGCUAGUUGGUGAGAUAAAAGCUCACCAAGGCAACGAUCAGUAGCCGGCUUGAGAGAGUGUACGGCCACAUUGGGACUGAGACACGGCCCAGACUCCUACGGGAGGCAGCAGUGGGGAAUUUUGCACAAUGGGGGAAACCCUGAUGCAGCGACGCCGCGUGAUUUAGAAGGCCUUCGGGUUGUAAAAAUCUUUUGUAUAGGAAGAAAAUGACAGUACUAUACGAAUAAGGUCCGGCUAAUUACGUGCCAGCAGCCGCGGUAAUACGUAAGGACCGAGCGUUGUCCGGAAUCAUUGGGCGUAAAAGGGUACGUAGGCGGCUAGAAAAGUUAGAAGUCAAAGGCUAUAGCUCAACUAUAGUAAGCUUCUAAAACUAUUUAGCUUGAGAAAUGGAAGGGAAAGUGGAAUUCCUAGUGUAGCGGUGGAAUGCGCAGAUAUUAGGAAGAAUACCGGUGGCGAAGGCGACUUUCUGGCCAUUAUCUGACGCUGAGGUACGAAAGCGUGGGUAGCAAACAGGAUUAGAUACCCUGGUAGUCCACGCCGUAAACGAUGAGUGUUAGGUGUCUGGAGUCAAAUCUGGGUGCCGCAGCAAACGCAUUAAACACUCCGCCUGGGGAGUACGCACGCAAGUGUGAAACUCAAAGGAAUUGACGGGGACCCGCACAAGCAGCGGAGCAUGUGGUUUAAUUCGACGCAACGCGAAGAACCUUACCAAGUCUUGACAUAUUACAGAAGCAGUUAGAGAUAAUUGCUUACAUCUUCGGAUGACUGUAAUACAGGUGGUGCAUGGUUGUCGUCAGCUCGUGUCGUGAGAUGUUGGGUUAAGUCCCAUAACGAGCGCAACCCCUAUUGCUAGUUACCAUCAUUAAGUUGGGGACUCUAGUAAUACUGCCGGUGACAAACCGGAGGAAGGUGGGGAUGACGUCAAAUCAUCAUGCCCUUUAUGACUUGGGCUACACACGUGCUACAAUGGCAGGUACACAGGGUUGCAAGACUGCGAAGUUAAGCGAAACUCAAAAAGCCUGUCCCAGUUCGGAUUGCACUCUGCAACUCGAGUGCAUGAAGUUGGAGUUGCUAGUAAUCGUGGAUCAGAAUGCCGCGGUGAAUGCGUUCCCGGGUCU